ACCUACGGGUGGCUGCAGUGGGGAAUUUUGGACAAUGGGGGCAACCCUGAUCCAGCCAUGCCGCGUGAGUGAAGAAGGCCUUCGGGUUGUAAAGCUCUUUCGGCCGGGAAGAAAUCGUGCGGGCUAAUACCCUGUAUGGAUGACGGUACCGGAAGAAGAAGCACCGGCUAACUACGUGCCAGCAGCCGCGGUAAUACGUAGGGUGCGAGCGUUAAUCGGAAUUACUGGGCGUAAAGCGUGCGCAGGCGGUUUCGUAAGACAGAUGUGAAAUCCCCGGGCUUAACCUGGGAACUGCGUUUGUGACUGCGAGACUUGAGUGCGGCAGAGGGGGGUGGAAUUCCACGUGUAGCAGUGAAAUGCGUAGAGAUGUGGAGGAACACCGAUGGCGAAGGCAGCCCCCUGGGUCGACACUGACGCUCAUGCACGAAAGCGUGGGGAGCAAACAGGAUUAGAUACCCUGGUAGUCGCG
RNAcentral lists this ribosomal RNA (469 nucleotides) under uncultured bacterium. RNAcentral's name for it is "bacterial SSU rRNA". It matches the Rfam family "Bacterial small subunit ribosomal RNA", at positions 337 to 799 of the family's 1533-position model. The record is from RNAcentral.